RNAcentral lists this ribosomal RNA (540 nucleotides) under Bifidobacterium breve. Its description in RNAcentral is "bacterial SSU rRNA". It matches the Rfam family "Bacterial small subunit ribosomal RNA", at positions 161 to 711 of the family's 1533-position model. The record is from RNAcentral. Lineage: Bacteria; Bacillati; Actinomycetota; Actinomycetes; Bifidobacteriales; Bifidobacteriaceae.
UGGUAAUGCCGGAUGCUCCAGCUGAUCGCAUGGUCUUCUGGGAAAGCCUUUGCGGCAUGGGAUGGGGUCGCGUCCUAUCAGCUUGAUGGCGGGGUAACGGCCCACCAUGGCUUCGACGGGUAGCCGGCCUGAGAGGGCGACCGGCCACAUUGGGACUGAGAUACGGCCCAGACUCCUACGGGAGGCAGCAGUGGGGAAUAUUGCACAAUGGGCGCAAGCCUGAUGCAGCGACGCCGCGUGAGGGAUGGAGGCCUUCGGGUUGUAAACCUCUUUUGUUAGGGAGCAAGGCAUUUUGUGUUGAGUGUACCUUUCGAAUAAGCACCGGCUAACUACGUGCCAGCAGCCGCGGUAAUACGUAGGGUGCAAGCGUUAUCCGGAAUUAUUGGGCGUAAAGGGCUCGUAGGCGGUUCGUCGCGUCCGGUGUGAAAGUCCAUCGCUUAACGGUGGAUCCGCGCCGGGUACGGGCGGGCUUGAGUGCGGUAGGGGAGACUGGAAUUCCCGGUGUAACGGUGGAAUGUGUAGAUAUCGGGAAGAACACCA